UGUGGACUUCUGAUGUUUUUGAAAACCAACU
This 31-nucleotide non-coding RNA is filed under the name Mus musculus (house mouse). The record is from RNAcentral. Lineage: Eukaryota; Metazoa; Chordata; Mammalia; Rodentia; Muridae.